GACGAACGCUGGCGGCGUGCCUAAUACAUGCAAGUAGAACGCUGAAGGAGGAGCUUGCUUCUCCGGAUGAGUUGCGAACGGGUGAGUAACGCGUAGGUAACCUGCCUGGUAGCGGGGGAUAACUAUUGGAAACGAUAGCUAAUACCGCAUAAGAGUAGAUGUUGCAUGACAUUUGCUUAAAAGGUGCAAUUGCAUCACUACCAGAUGGACCUGCGUUGUAUUAGCUAGUUGGUGGGGUAACGGCUCACCAAGGCGACGAUACAUAGCCGACCUGAGAGGGUGAUCGGCCACACUGGGACUGAGACACGGCCCAGACUCCUACGGGAGGCAGCAGUAGGGAAUCUUCGGCAAUGGACGGAAGUCUGACCGAGCAACGCCGCGUGAGUGAAGAAGGUUUUCGGAUCGUAAAGCUCUGUUGUAAGAGAAGAACGAGUGUGAGAGUGGAAAGUU
RNAcentral lists this ribosomal RNA (450 nucleotides) under Streptococcus mitis. RNAcentral describes it as "bacterial SSU rRNA". It matches the Rfam family "Bacterial small subunit ribosomal RNA", at positions 28 to 470 of the family's 1533-position model. Lineage: Bacteria; Bacillati; Bacillota; Bacilli; Lactobacillales; Streptococcaceae. The record is from RNAcentral.